RNAcentral lists this long non-coding RNA (585 nucleotides) under Chrysemys picta bellii (western painted turtle). RNAcentral's name for it is "lncRNA (ENSCPBG00000002336.1)". Lineage: Eukaryota; Metazoa; Chordata; Testudines; Emydidae. The record is from RNAcentral.
UCACACACACGGAUCUAAACCCCUUACAUCAGUUGAAAAGUGGCUGGGUGGAGCUCACAGAACUUAGAUCUGACUUUUGCUCCGUGUUGGUUCAGUGUUACUUUCAGUUUUGCUGUUAGUCAUCUCAGACUUACAGGAAGAGAGAGGGCGGGGGGAUCACGGAUCCUAUUUCUUCAACUCCCCCGAGACCGUCCCAGGAAUGGCAGCUCUCAGGGGUGGAAGAUGCGACAUGGUCAGAGGCAGGAUGGGAACGAGCCCUGGCUGGUCGCUGCGGUUGGUGGCUCUGUGGACGCUCUAUGGAGUCGCUGGAGCACAGCCAUCCAUCACAGCUCAGUAUGGAGAGGACAUCACACUGGACUGCACCUUCCACCACAUACCGGGGGUAAAACUCCAGCGACUGAACAUCACCUGGAAGAUGCAAAGAGCCGAGGGAGCAGCUCUCCUGGUUCACAGCUACUGUGAGCAGAGGGACCUGUGGCAGGGACAGGACAAGGUUUACUGGGGCCGGACACAGCUGGACCCAGAGGGAAUCCACAAAGGGAAUGCGUCCCUGCGACUCAGGGCUGUGCACUUCCAGGACGAGGG